RNAcentral lists this transfer RNA (73 nucleotides) under Trichonephila inaurata madagascariensis. It matches the Rfam family "tRNA". Rfam says of the family: Transfer RNA (tRNA) molecules are approximately 80 nucleotides in length. Their secondary structure includes four short double-helical elements and three loops (D, anti-codon, and T loops). Lineage: Eukaryota; Metazoa; Arthropoda; Arachnida; Araneae; Nephilidae. The record is from Rfam by way of RNAcentral.
AUCCUUGUAGCGAAAUGGAUAGUGCGUUGGACUUCUAAUCCAAAGGUCGUGGGUUUGAAUCCCACCUGGGAUG